This 510-nucleotide ribosomal RNA is filed under the name uncultured bacterium. Its description in RNAcentral is "bacterial SSU rRNA". It matches the Rfam family "Bacterial small subunit ribosomal RNA", at positions 32 to 513 of the family's 1533-position model. The record is from RNAcentral.
AAUCAACGCUGGCGGCGUGCCUCAGACAUGCAAGUCGAACGCGAAAUCUCCCUUCGGGGAGAAAGUAGAGUGGCGCACGGGUGAGUAACACGUAGGUAAUUUGCCUUCGGGUGGGGAAUAACAGCCGGAAACGGCUGCUAAUACCGCAUAAUGCAGCGGCUCGACAUCGAGACAGUUGUUAAAGCGGGGAGUCGUAAGACCUCGCGCCUGAAGAGAAGUCCGCGGCAGAUUAGCUAGUUGGUAGGGUAAUGGCCUACCAAGGCGACGAUCUGUAGCCGGCCUGGAGGGGGCGGUCGGCCACACUGACACUGACAUACGGGUCAGACUCCUACGGGAGGCAGCAGUCGGGAAUUUUGGGCAAUGGGCGAAAGCCUGACCCAGCAACGCCGCGUGGAGGAUGAAGGUCUUCGGAUUGUAAACUCCUGUUGCUCGGGACGAAUGGCUCCGACCUAAUACGUCGGAGUGUGACGGUACCGGGUGAGGAACGCCCCGGCUAACUCUGUGCCAGCA